RNAcentral lists this ribosomal RNA (372 nucleotides) under uncultured organism. Its description in RNAcentral is "bacterial SSU rRNA". It matches the Rfam family "Bacterial small subunit ribosomal RNA", at positions 526 to 896 of the family's 1533-position model. The record is from RNAcentral.
CGUAGGGUGCGAGCGUUAAUCGGAAUUACUGGGUGUAAAGCGUGCGCAGGCGGUUUAGUAAGACAGGCGUGAAAUCCCCGGGCUCAACCUGGGAACUGCGCUUGUGACUGCUAAGCUAGAGUACGGCAGAGGGGGGUGGAAUUCCACGUGUAGCAGUGAAAUGCGUAGAGAUGUGGAGGAACACCAAUGGCGAAGGCAGCCCCCUGGGUCGAUACUGACGCUCAUGCACGAAAGCGUGGGUAGCAAACAGGAUUAGAUACCCUGGUAGUCCACGCCCUAAACGAUGUCAACUAGGUGUUGGGAGGGUAAAACCUUUUAGUACCGGAGCUAACGCGUGAAGUUGACCGCCUGGGGAGUACGGCCGCAAGGUUA